AAAAAUGCACAAGAUUUUCCUCAAAAUCUGUACCUAGUAGUGAUUGAUAAUUAACCUUUUAUAUUUGUAAAAAAAAAAAAUCCGGUUUCUUUUUAGCAAGUCCUAAAGAUAAAAAUUGCAUGGUGUUCUUGCAAACCGCAAAUGAACUUACCUAUAGAGCUUUGUUGGGAACAUGUCGACUCUGGAGUUUGGAUGUAAUUUGUUUAUAAAUGUAAUGGUAUUAUAUUGUUAAAGCACGCUCUUUAUGAAAAUGAGAAUGUUCUUCCAAAUGCGCUUGAUCUUUUGAAUUGUUAGUUGAAUGUGGCAUUAUUUAUUCAUUUAUUCGUUAACAGUGUAAUUUCGUCUACUUUCAAAAUGGAAUGCAAUACUGUUGGUAUUUAUAAGAUUUUCAACAUAUAUAUUAGGCCCUUUGACCAGGAGAAAUGUGAGCUAUUCAUAUAUGCAAGUCUGCAAAGUUACUGUUUUUAUCUCCUUCACCUGCAAAUUUUGCUUUGUUCUUUGCAUUUAUUUCUGUAUAUAGAGAAUUACAUUUAGCUGAUUUGGAUUUUAUUUGAAAAUUUUGCAAUCUUCUUUUAUAACCAUAGGAUGAAGUGCAUUGUUUACUGUGUACUUACAAGAGUUAGACUAAAGGAUGCAUAAGUUUUUCUAAAGGGUGAAGAGAUAAAUCCAUACCAUAUGUAUUUAAAAGUUGAAAUAUGGCAUAUGUGUAUUAGUUAUUUGCUUGAUUUACCAUAUUGGGGCAAUUUUUAGCAAAUAGUUGGGCUGGUUAUAUGCUAAAUGACCACAUUAUGUUCAAUCAUUUGACAACAUAGCUUUUUGAACAUUAACUUAUGAAGACCAUCUUCAAAUUGCACCACCAUAUGAGCUGUUGACUCUAUUCAUUAUGGUAUUCUUUAACUGUGUUCUAUAGAAAUAUAAUUCUUUCUAUUUCAGCUUCAGUAAUCAGUAUGUACUAUUACAUUAUCUAUAAUUCUUAUUUGCAUGAUUCUGGUUCUUCAAUGGGUUGAACCUUUUUUUUUUUUUG
This 1024-nucleotide unclassified non-coding RNA is filed under the name Hevea brasiliensis (rubber tree). The record is from RNAcentral. Lineage: Eukaryota; Viridiplantae; Streptophyta; Magnoliopsida; Malpighiales; Euphorbiaceae.